AGGAACUACAACAGUGGUGGCGGCCAGCUCCCCAGCCCUGGAUUCAGCUCCCGCAGUAACUACCAAGCUCUCUGUCUGCAGGGCCUGGAUGCUCCGGUGGCGG
Molecule: microRNA precursor, 103 nt
Filed under: Canis lupus familiaris (dog)
Lineage: Eukaryota; Metazoa; Chordata; Mammalia; Carnivora; Canidae
Also listed under: 1 other name
Description: mir-8834 microRNA precursor family
Rfam family: mir-8834 microRNA precursor family
Source: Rfam by way of RNAcentral